UUGGUUUUAGUUAUUUUUUAAUUUUUUAAUUACAUACUAUAGCCGACGAAUACGCUAGGGUAUUCGUCGGUUAAACCCUAAAAUUUUUCUAUUACAUACGUAAGCCCUAUCUUCGGAGCUUAUUUUCCGUAAAAUUUUUAGACGACUUCUUGUGUCUCAUCGGUUUGAAACUAUUUUCAGUUGGAGGUCCGGCCAAAAUACGUAAUUUAGACGGUCAAACGAUUUUUUUCCGUGUGUUUAGGGGUUUGACGUACGAGAUUGACCGUUCGGAUCGAGCCCUUAUUCUUAUCGGAUCAAAUUGAAUUUUUUCCCAUACAUGUAUUUUGUCAUGAUGGUCAGAUCUGACAGUCGGAUUUCUGUUUCUCAAGUUUGAUCAUCACAAUCACAACAUGCCUACUAAUGUUGUAUAACUUGUUUACCAAGUGUUAUGUAAAUGUUCCGUUUCAAAAACAAACUAUAUGUAAAACCUUCAAACGCCAAAAAGUCAUGAAAUAAGAUAUAACGAGAAUGUUGAAAUACAUCCACGGUUGAAAAAUCACACUAUUCCGGUAAAUAUUCGGUGUCGAUAGUUGCGGUCAAUGCAAUUUUUCAUUCUUUCCCCCUAUGACUAGCCCUAUAUUCGGUGGUUAUUUUGCGUAAAAUUUUUAUACGACUUGUUGCGUGUCAUCUAUUUAAAACUAUUUUCAGUUGAAGAUCCGGCCAAAAUACGUAAUUUAGACGGUCGAACGACCUUUUCCGUGCGUUUAGGGGUUUGACUUACGAGAUUGACCGUCCGGAUCGAGCCCUUAUUCUUGUCGGAUCAAGUUGAAUUUUUGCCCAUACAUGUAUUUUGUCAUGGUGGUCAGAUCUGACGGUCGGAUUUUUGUUUCUCAAGUUUGAUCAUCACAAUCACAAUGUGCCAAAUGUAUAAAAGUACUUUAGCCGACGAAUUUCAAAGGUUAGCCGACGAAUUUCGAAGGUUUAGCCGACGAAUUGAUUCUUAGUCGACGAGAUUGUUAGCUUUAGCCGACGAAAUUAUUAUUUCGUCGGCUAAAGUUGUCGGGUUUAACUUCCGCUCGACAGCAGAAAAACCCUAGCCUCCUCUUCCGCCUCCUCCGCCUCCUCUCCCUCUCCCGGUCUCCCAGUCGCCCUCUCCCUNNNNN
Molecule: long non-coding RNA, 1142 nt
Filed under: Fragaria vesca (wild strawberry)
Lineage: Eukaryota; Viridiplantae; Streptophyta; Magnoliopsida; Rosales; Rosaceae
Description: long non-coding RNA (FVES_LNC005533)
Source: RNAcentral